Molecule: long non-coding RNA, 903 nt
Filed under: Nicotiana benthamiana
Lineage: Eukaryota; Viridiplantae; Streptophyta; Magnoliopsida; Solanales; Solanaceae
Description: long non-coding RNA (NBEN_LNC032792)
Source: RNAcentral
UUCAAUUGAAUUUGAAAAGAGUAAUUAAAAUGUAUGAGGUGGAUGGUUUCUCUUGCUGGAGAAAUCUCUAAAAAACGAUAUUUAUCAAGUACCAAUAAAGCUGCAUGAGUAUGCAAUAGCUAUAUAGUCAUAAAUUUAAUACUUUCUCCCUCAAUUUGUCCUUCAAACUAUUGUGUUGUCAUAGUCAUUAUACGAUUCGUGAAUAUGAGUUAUCCUGGUCACUUUAGAUUAUCUUUCGUCAUGAUUCUACUACAUGUCAUUGAACCAUUUUUGUAUGCCUGUGAAGGUAUUUAAGAAAAUUAAGUUGAUCAAGGUUUUAUUUUCAUCUUGUACCUCCAUUUACCCUGUCCUACACCCUUGUUAUGGUAGUCUUAAUAUUUUAUCUUUCGGCUGUGUACUUUGAUAGUUUUACAAUUAUAAUUUGUGCUUAUUCUGUUUUUGCAGAUUGGACGAUGAUGAGACUAUUGGAGCAUGUGGUAUUUUUAGAGGGAGUGAGCUAUAUCCUUCUUUUGGCUGUCUAUAUACUAAUAAGGAAUUAUUACACGUUGUAACUUUUGAUAAUGUAAAUAAAAUAUACUUUUAAAUAAAAAGAAUAGUAUGAGAAGAUAUCUUAAACUUAUUUGACUAUGUUGAUCUAGCUUUUCAUCGUUUUACAAUAUGGUGGUGGUCAACAUUCUUAGGCAGAUGCAGAGGACCAGCCUAGACCUGCUUGAUCUUAUACUUCCUGCUUAAAAGGUCAUGUUCUCGUAUUUUUCCACUAUAGUUUUUUAUUUUUUCUGGUACAAGAAAAAGUACUAGUAUUUGAAUAAGAACUUGAGUAAAUAACGAUAAGUGUGAAGUCCAGAUGCAGUUGGGAAAAUUGAUGUAUAAAGCUUGGGCCCGUGUAACAUGCAUGAAACAGGA